GGAGGGAACGUGUCACAAGUGUACGGGGACGGAUAGGUAGCAAAACAUACCACUCUUAAAAAUGAGAGAAAUCAAAGAGAAUGAUGCGCGAAAGAGAGUUUACUACGUAUUAUGCAUAUCGUACCGGUUUCCAAUUUCAAUGGGAAACCCAACAAUCCGCGGAUCGGAUUUUGUCCAAUUGUUUAAAUAAAGACGUGGAGUAAAUGCAUCGAUAGUUCAUCAGUUUAAUCAAUUAUUUUAAUGAAAUCGGGAAAAGGGACAAACGUAAAACAACAACCAAGCAGCAGUUUGAACGAGUUGUUGCUUUAAUAUAGUCGAAUACUGACGUGGUCAAGGAUUUGUCAAAGGGGAGCGCAAAAUGUUGGGAAUUAGUGUCGAAGGAAUUGAAUCCAUUAGGUCCACCAACCAAGGAUGGCUCAGGAUGGAAGAAGGUCUGGUCUGAUUACAGGUCAUCAU
Molecule: long non-coding RNA, 456 nt
Organism: Anopheles arabiensis
Lineage: Eukaryota; Metazoa; Arthropoda; Insecta; Diptera; Culicidae
Exons: 3
Source: RefSeq, a predicted model, not a curated record